GACGAACCGUGCGAACGUUGUUCGGAAUCACUGGGCUUAAAGGGCGCGUAGGCGGGUCACCAAGUCCGGGGUGAAAUCUUUCGGCUUAACCGGAAAACUGCCUUGGAUACUGGUGACCUCGAGGGAGGUAGGGGUCUGUGGAACUUCUGGUGGAGCGGUGAAAUGCGUUGAUAUCAGAAGGAACGCCGGUGGCGAAAGCGACGGACUGGACCUCCACUGACGCUGAGGCGCGAAAGCUAGGGGAGCAAACGGG
RNAcentral lists this ribosomal RNA (253 nucleotides) under uncultured bacterium. Its description in RNAcentral is "partial 16S ribosomal RNA". It matches the Rfam family "Bacterial small subunit ribosomal RNA", at positions 524 to 776 of the family's 1533-position model. The record is from RNAcentral.